GGGCGUAAGCGGGCGUAGGCGGCUUGGUAGGUUUGGGGUGAAAGACGAGGACGCCCCGGAAUGGCUUUAAAAAUGGAUGGCUUGAAACAGGGAGAGGUGAGUGGAAUUUCGAGUGGAGAGGUGAAAUUCUUUAAUUUUCGGAAGAACACCAGUGGCGAAGGCGGCUGCCUGCUCCGGCAUUGACCCUUAAGUGGCAAAACGUGGGGAGCAAAAAAGAUUAAAAAACCCGGUAGUCCCCCCCCCAAACGAAGAAGACUAGCUGUCUGGGGCCUUAGUGCUUAAGUGGGCGAACUAAAUCAUUAAGUCUUCCGGCUGGGGAGUACGGGCGCAAGGGUAAAACUCAAAAAAAUUGACGGGGGCCCGCCCCAGCGGGGGAACGGGUUUUGCCAACCUUAUACCACGACAAAAACUUACCCUCGUUUGAAAUCCUGAUGGACGUUACCACAGAUGGUUUCUCUUCCCCUCUGCUGCAUCGUUGACAGGUGCUGCAUGGCUGUCGUCACCUCGUGUCUUGAGAUGUUGGGUUAAGUCCCCCAACGAGCGCACCCCUCUCCUUUAUUUGCUACCAUUUAGUUGGGCACUCUUAGGAACUGCCGGUGAUAAGCCGGAGGAAGGUGGGGAUGACAUCUAGUCCUCAUGGCCCUUACGCGCUGGGCUACACACAUGCUACAAUGGUGGACACAAUGGGCGGCAACUCACGACAUGAUGAGAUAAUCUCUCAUCAGUUGUCUCUCUUCUCAUAGUUCUCUGCGCUGCGAGAGCACGAUCAUGGCAGUAGCUAGUAUCAUGGAUCAUCAUGUCA
RNAcentral lists this ribosomal RNA (802 nucleotides) under uncultured bacterium. RNAcentral's name for it is "partial 16S ribosomal RNA". It matches the Rfam family "Bacterial small subunit ribosomal RNA", at positions 556 to 1359 of the family's 1533-position model. The record is from RNAcentral.